RNAcentral lists this ribosomal RNA (411 nucleotides) under Triticum aestivum (bread wheat). Its description in RNAcentral is "partial small subunit ribosomal RNA". The record is from RNAcentral. Lineage: Eukaryota; Viridiplantae; Streptophyta; Magnoliopsida; Poales; Poaceae.
GUCACAGCUCACGAUUCUGCAAACCAUCAACAAGAAGAGGCUCCAUCACAUCUAGCCAGCUAGCCAAAGACGAUGAGGCCGAACGCCCUGACGCUGCCGCUACCUCUCGCCUUCCUCCUCCUCCUCCUCCUCCUCGUGCUAGCACCAGCUAAGGCGAGAGAUGAUUGUACAAGCCAUAUAUAUCAUCGGGUGCAAGAACAAACCCGAGCCGCCUUGUCCGUGCGACCGCGCGGAGUGUAGCUUCGACAGCCGUGUAGCGUUCGCUCAGCUUGGGUGCCCGAAAGAUGCGACCAGAUGCACUUGGACAGGACAGUGCAUCAACCGGGGGUGCAACUUCACCUACUGCGUAUAUAGAUAAGAUAGGUGGGCAUGUCGACCUGAUAAAAUAACAAAGAUGAUAUCAUAGAUGGC